CAACAGCUCAAAUUUGAAAUCUGGCCCCCUCGGGGCCCGAGUUGUAAUUUGUAGAGGAUGUUUCGGGUGUGGCUCCGGUCUAAGUUCCUUGGAACAGGACGUCAUAGAGGGUGAGAAUCCCGUAUGUGACUGGCAGCCUACGCCCAUGUGAAACUCCUUCGACGAGUCGAGUUGUUUGGGAAUGCAGCUCAAAAUGGGUGGUAAAUUUCAUCUAAAGCUAAAUAUUGGCCAGAGACCGAUAGCGCACAAGUAGAGUGAUCGAAAGAUGAAAAGCACUUUGGAAAGAGAGUUAAACAGUACGUGAAAUUGUUGAAAGGGAAGCGCUUGCAACCAGACUUGCGUGCGGCCGAUCAUCCGGUGUUCUCACCGGUGCACUCGGUCGUGCUCAGGCCAGCAUCGGUUUCGGCGGCUGGAUAAAGGCCAUGGGAAUGUAGCUCCUCUCGGGGAGUGUUAUAGCCCGUGGUGCAAUGCAGCCCGCUGGGACCGAGGACCGCGCUUCGGCUAGGAUGCUGGCGUAAUGGUUGUAAGCGACCCGUCUUGAAACACGGACCAAGGAGUCUAACAUCUAUGCGAGUGUUUGGGUGUCAAACCCAUACGCGGAAUGAAAGUGAACGGAGGUGAGAACCCUUAAGGGUGCAUCAUCGACCGAUCCUGAUGUCUUCGGAUGGAUUUGAGUAAGAGCAUAGCUGUUGGGACCCGAAAGAUGGUGAACUAUGCCUGAAUAGGGUGAAGCCAGAGGAAACUCUGGUGGAGGCUCGCAGCGGUUCUGACGUGCAAAUCGAUCGUCAAAUUUGGGUA
RNAcentral lists this ribosomal RNA (798 nucleotides) under Darkera picea. RNAcentral describes it as "eukaryotic LSU rRNA". It matches the Rfam family "Eukaryotic large subunit ribosomal RNA", at positions 102 to 917 of the family's 3401-position model. The record is from RNAcentral. Lineage: Eukaryota; Fungi; Ascomycota; Leotiomycetes; Phacidiales; Phacidiaceae.